AUUGAACGCUGGCGGCAGGCCUAACACAUGCAAGUCGAGCGGAUGAAGGGAGCUUGCUCCUGGAUUCAGCGGCGGACGGGUGAGUAAUGCCUAGGAAUCUGCCUGGUAGUGGGGGAUAACGUCCGGAAACGGGCGCUAAUACCGCAUACGUCCUGAGGGAGAAAGUGGGGGAUCUUCGGACCUCACGCUAUCAGAUGAGCCUAGGUCGGAUUAGCUAGUUGGUGGGGUAAAGGCCUACCAAGGCGACGAUCCGUAACUGGUCUGAGAGGAUGAUCAGUCACACUGUAACUGAGACACGGUCCAGACUCCUACGGGAGGCAGCAGUGGGGAAUAUUGGACAAUGGGCGAAAGCCUGAUCCAGCCAUGCCGCGUGUGUGAAGAAGGUCUUCGGAUUGUAAAGCACUUUAAGUUGGGAGGAAGGGCAGUAAGUUAAUACCUUGCUGUUUCGACGUUACCAACAGAAUAAGCACCGGCUAACUUCGUG
RNAcentral lists this ribosomal RNA (484 nucleotides) under uncultured bacterium. Its description in RNAcentral is "partial 16S ribosomal RNA". It matches the Rfam family "Bacterial small subunit ribosomal RNA", at positions 30 to 507 of the family's 1533-position model. The record is from RNAcentral.